ACGCUCGACACCUACGGGGGCAGCAGUGAGGAAUAUUGGUCAAUGGGCGCUAGCCUGAACCAGCCAAGUAGCGUGAAGGAUGAAGGCUCUAUGGGUCGUAAACUUCUUUUAUAUAAGAAUAAAGUGCAGUAUGUAUACUGUUUUGUAUGUAUUAUAUGAAUAAGGAUCGGCUAACUCCGUGCCAGCAGCCGACGGUAAUCUGAGGCGGGCGUGGACGAAGGC
RNAcentral lists this ribosomal RNA (222 nucleotides) under uncultured bacterium. RNAcentral's name for it is "partial 16S ribosomal RNA". It matches the Rfam family "Bacterial small subunit ribosomal RNA", at positions 328 to 545 of the family's 1533-position model. The record is from RNAcentral.